UCACCUCCCCCCCCUCCCCCGUUGCCCUCAUGCCUGGAAACGGAAGUGCGCUCCCGGAAACGGAAGUGAAUGCCGUACUCCGCGUGCAGGCCCGCCUCCUUCCACAUCAACCAGUCUAAGGUUGCUCCCACCAGACUAGGAGGACUGGAGAGUAGGGUUGGGGUCAAAGGGUAGCCUCCUGCAGGUCGCCUCCUCCUGUGGCUUUCCCGGACGUCGCGCUGGGACUUCCUGCCGACACCGCACUUCUUCCCAGACUCCCACCUGCGCCGCUGGGGGCUUGGGUCCAGAUUUCCAGGGUCUUUGAAGAUGUUAGUUCACUGUUUAUUCAUGUGGGUUCCUGUAAAUGUCUGCAGCCAAUCUGGAAGUGGAGCUGUAUUUGGAACUUUUUGAAUCUAAAUCAGUUUGGGAGAGAGGGAAUAUCUUGACAAGCGCCAGACAACUGAACCCCUAGAAACUUCAGGUGGUUAGCCUGAAUGUUUGGGUGUAUUCCCCAACAAACAUUCACGUCUGUCUUACGAAAGAACUCAUAAAGGCAUCAAUAGAGAGGACAAGUUGUGGGAUGUAAAGAUGACCAUACCUGCUGGAUGUUAUUGCAAGCAACAGUAUAACUGAUGUAACGCUGAGAAAAAGUAAGUUGCUCCUGGUUGUCCUUACAGGUUGAGAAAAUGGUAUUUCUAGGUCAGUAGCUCACAUUUGUAGUAAAUUAAUGAACAUUAGUUAUUAGGGGAAAAGUAUGGGCACUAAUAGCACAAUUUGCCAGAAACAUAAAAUGAGUAAACUUAAAUGUACCCAAUUACAGUGCCCCCCAAAAAAGGAGAGUUUUUUUUUUUUUUUUUUCCCUGAGACACGGUCUUGCUGUGGCCCGGGCAGGAAUGCAGUGGCAUGACCUCGGCUCACUGCUACCUCUGCCUCCUGGGCUCAGGUGAUCCUCUCACCUCAGCCUACUGAGUAGCUGGGACUUACAGGUACACAAUACCAUACCUGGCUAACUUUUUUUUGUUUUGUUUUUUGUAGAGAUGGAGUUUCGGCUCAUUGGCUGGGCUUGGUCUUGAACUGGUAAGCUCAAGUGAUCUGCCCGCCUUGGGCUCCCAGACAUGCACCACUGCACCUGGCCUAGAGAGAGAGAUUUUUAAAGAAAACAAUUUGGCUGGGGGCGGUGA
This 1160-nucleotide long non-coding RNA is filed under the name Homo sapiens (human). Its description in RNAcentral is "HSALNT0255503". Lineage: Eukaryota; Metazoa; Chordata; Mammalia; Primates; Hominidae. The record is from RNAcentral.